UACGAAGGUGGCAAGCGUUGUUCGGAUUUACUGGGCGUACAGGGAGCGUAGGCGGUUGGAUAAGCCCUCCGUGAAAUCUCCAGGCUUAACCUGGAAAGUGCAGAGGGGACUGUUCAGCUAGAGGAUGGGAGAGGAGCGCGGAAUUCCCGGUGUAGCGGUGAAAUGCGUAGAUAUCGAGAGGAACACCUGCGGCGAAGGCGGGUAGCUGGGCCGACACUGACGCUGAGGCGCGAAAGCCAGGGGAGCGAACGGG
RNAcentral lists this ribosomal RNA (253 nucleotides) under uncultured bacterium. Its description in RNAcentral is "partial 16S ribosomal RNA". It matches the Rfam family "Bacterial small subunit ribosomal RNA", at positions 524 to 776 of the family's 1533-position model. The record is from RNAcentral.